This is a non-coding RNA of Haliaeetus albicilla (white-tailed eagle), 97 nucleotides long. The record is from Rfam. Lineage: Eukaryota; Metazoa; Chordata; Aves; Accipitriformes; Accipitridae.
UCAUAAGUUCAUGGUUCGACACCAUGGAUCUCCAGGUGGGUCAAGAUUAUAGAGAUACACCAACCUGGAGGACUCCAUGCUGUCGAGCUGUUCAUAA